UGCCAGCCGCCGCGUAAUACGGAGGGGGUUAGCGUUGUUCGGAAUUACUGGGCGUAAAGCGCACGUAGGCGGAUUAGUAAGUUAGGGGUGAAAUCCCAGGGCUCAACCCUGGAACUGCCUCAUAAACUCCUGAUCUAGAGUUCGAGAGAGGUGAGUGGAAUUCCGAGUGUAGAGGUGAAAUUCGUAGAUAUUCGGAGGAACACCAGUGGCGAAGGCGGCUCACUGGCUCGAUACUGACGCUGAGGUACGAAAGUGUGGGGAGCAAACAGGAUUAGAUA
RNAcentral lists this ribosomal RNA (278 nucleotides) under uncultured bacterium. RNAcentral describes it as "partial 16S ribosomal RNA". It matches the Rfam family "Bacterial small subunit ribosomal RNA", at positions 506 to 784 of the family's 1533-position model. The record is from RNAcentral.